RNAcentral lists this ribosomal RNA (253 nucleotides) under uncultured bacterium. RNAcentral's name for it is "partial 16S ribosomal RNA". It matches the Rfam family "Bacterial small subunit ribosomal RNA", at positions 524 to 776 of the family's 1533-position model. The record is from RNAcentral.
UACGAAGGGGGCUAGCGUUGUUCGGAUUUACUGGGCGUAAAGCGCACGUAGGCGGAUCGUUAAGUCGGGGGUGAAAUCCUGGAGCUCAACUCCAGAACUGCCUUCGAUACUGGCGAUCUUGAGUCCGGAAGAGGUGAGUGGAACUCCUAGUGUAGAGGUGGAAUUCGUAGAUAUUAGGAGGAAUACCGGUGGCGAAGGCGGCCUUCUGGACCAUUCUUGACGCUGAGACGCGAAAGCGUGGGGAGCAAACAGG